Neomonachus schauinslandi (Hawaiian monk seal) is the source of this 314-nucleotide long non-coding RNA. RefSeq lists it as uncharacterized. NCBI's taxonomy places the organism in Eukaryota, Metazoa, Chordata, Mammalia, Carnivora, Phocidae. The record is from RefSeq and is a predicted model, not a curated record. The transcript is spliced from 3 exons.
UUUCUGUGUAAUGUUUGUCUUUCUAUUUUUUUUAAAGCCUGAAGAAGAUUCAAGCUCAUGGCCAGAGGGACAGAUGAGACCCACAGACAUAUUUGUUUAGCCUUCACGAUGUUUACAAGGAUACAUGACACUGAUACAACAUGCCUCCUUUUGACUGCAACAGUUUCCAGACUCCUUGUUCUGGAUGACCUUGAUGCGCCACCUGGAGGUGCAAGGUGAACCCUGCAGAGAGGCUGGAAAUGGGCUGAUGGACCCCAAAGACAGAGCAGGCGGUCCUUCUGUGAGCACCUGGAGGAGAUGCGUUUACAGGCACC